GUACUCAGGUGAAUAUGAUGCUUGUGAUGUUACUCUGAGUGUAUAUGUAGCUACGCUCAAGCUUGCCCGGUGUGGAUAUACACUCAGAGUAACAUCACAAGCAUCAUAUUCACCU
This is a non-coding RNA of Paramuricea clavata, 115 nucleotides long. The record is from the annotation of a GenBank genome assembly. Lineage: Eukaryota; Metazoa; Cnidaria; Anthozoa; Malacalcyonacea; Plexauridae.